Oryctolagus cuniculus (rabbit) is the source of this 7641-nucleotide non-coding RNA. Lineage: Eukaryota; Metazoa; Chordata; Mammalia; Lagomorpha; Leporidae. The record is from RefSeq and is a predicted model, not a curated record.
ACUGGAUCCUUGCGAAAAAGUACUUGCUGACUCCCGGCUUAGACAUCACUCUUGGCUCUGGAUCUGUCCCAAACUCAGUGAGGGGACCCUGCUGACACGGAGGAAAGGGAGGAAACGGCCGAGUCGGAGAUGGGCCUCCUCUCCCUUACAUCCUGCCGUCCCCUGGCCUGUGACUCAUCCUUUAACCACGGCAACUAAGGCAGCUCCCCGAAGGCAUAGUGCUUCACUGUGGCUCCAGAAAACGCCGAGCGUGUUUUGAGGACAAUGAGAAGAUCACCGGAGCCAAAUGUGUGCGAAAGCAAUGUGAGAGCCACAGGCCGGGCAGAUGAGGCAGGAUGACUGGGAAGAUGGCAUCAGGUGCCAAGAAUCUCCAGUUUUAAGAGCAGAGGGAAAGACACUCUGAAGAAGAUCUGAGAUCUAGGCAUAACCCUGUCUGCAUAUGCACAGGGAAAUUCUUCUUUCACAUGAGACAAGAACCGAGGUUGUCUUCUUCGUUGCCGUUCUCCCCUUAACGACAUGAAGGCCAAGAACCCAAGUACUUGAAUCGCCAUCUGCUUCCUCCCAGGAUGUGCCUGAACAGGAAGCCAGAUCAGAAGGGGAGGAAUUGAGACUCAAGCCAGGCACUCUGAUUUGGGAUAGGGGUAUCCUAAGAGGCAACCUAACCACUCUGCCAAGCUACAGGGAUUAUACCUUCAAUGGUUGAUUUUUAUAAGUCACUGCUGAACACCCUCUUCUUUGUACCUGGUGUAGGGGAUCCGUGUUUGAUGAAUGAGAGCACUGGGAAAUGAUGAGACAGAAAGGAUAGGGAACCAGUGGGUUUCCAUUUGUUUAUGAUCCAUGGGCGACUCAGCUCUGUCUUCACACUUCCUCCUGGCUCUGUGGGGUGGCAGUUUAUGAGGAAGAACUACAGUGGCAGGCAUCUCACACACAAGCGCCUACUUUCCCCCUCAGCUCCCUUACCUACCUCCACCCCAUGAUGGGCUUGUCCCUUUUCCCACCAACUUUAACUACGUAAAGGCUUCGGUGGUCCUCGGGGCUAAGAAGUAACCUCGCUCGUCAGUCCCAACAAGAUGUGAUUCAGCAAAUCGUGAUGAGAACAUCACUGUGGUGCAGUUUUUCAGAUUUAUUUCUGAUGAGUGGUAAUAUUUUAAAAUAGACCAUUGAACAGAUAACAAAUGACAUCUGAGUAUUGAACUUACAUUCAUGGGCGGAAGAAUAGUCAGACCAGUUUUUGUAAAGUGAAAGGUACUCUGAAUAAUUGUGUGUUUUCCCUUAUAUAUAAGAUGAUUAUCCCCCCCAAAAAAGUCAUCACAUUUUAGAUAUCAGAAAGAUCUUGGGCAUCACAAAGCCCAGGACACUUUAAGCAGAGCAUAGCAGAGACAAAUAUUGAGAAGUUUCCUGCCGCAUCGUGAUACUCCUCUCUCCACCCCAGAGGUACAGUACACUGGGUCAUAACUAUUUUACAAUGCGUUUGGAAAAAUGGAGUCUAAGGAUCUUAUCCAACAUAAAUACAAAUCAUCAGCAUGGUCAUUGCCUUCUAAAGCAACGGGCUCCCGAGUAGCAAUUAUUUCUUCAUUUUGUACUUUUUCUAACUGUCUCGUCUACCUUAUUACUAACUCUGGCGUUACCCUUUAUUAUCUAAACAAAGCCUAUGUUUGACUCAUGACAAUGUCUUUUCCUUGGAUCUGUUUUUGUGCACUCUGUGGCCAUGCCCCAGUUACCACAAUGUCUGCCGAAUGCAAUUCCUUGGCUAGUGACAGGAGCAAGAAUGGUUGCCAGUCCAGCUACAGAAAAAAAUGUUUGUGAAUUCCUUUGAUAGUGAUGAAUUCAUUGCUUCACUCAGCUGAGAAUUCUUUCUGAAGGACCAGGCACCAGCUAAAAUGUUCUGGAGUCCUGAGCUGAGUGAGAGUGUCCCCCAACUUGCAGAACCGCACAGUCUGAUGUGAGCUAGCUGUGUAAGCCGCACACAGUGGACACAGGUAGAGGAGCAGUAAAUAACCUAGGCAGCUUGGGGAAUGGAGAGGAAGAAGCUGUCUUUGGGGAUGGCAAGCAAAGAUUCAUGUAAAUUUGCAGGUGCCAAGAAGUCAUGACAAGUAGGAGCUAGAACUCUUCCAGGGAUGGUCUCAGCCCAGCUGGGGAGAGCAGGAGUCAGCCCCAGAUCCACAAACAGAGCAGGGGUGUGGACCUCAACACCCCUGGACUGGGGAGAGAGGAUCAAAGGGGAGAAUACAGGCCAGAGACAAUCCACGUGAAGACCAAGACAGCCAUCCGUACACCUCUUGAGAAAGUCACACGAGACCGCACUUGACAGCACAUUCCCAGCUGCUCAAGUAGGUAGGCGGAUCAGCUUGGGCUGACUCUGGGAGAUCUAAUCAGUCGCAGGUGCAUUUGGGGUGCAUUUUAGUCACAGGGGUAAACUGUCACUUCACAUGGUUGAGGUUGAGGCGCAACUGGCACUUUUCCCUGGAGGCAGCGUGCUCACUCGUCACUGCCUGCGUUUGGGGGAGGCCUGAAGCUCUGGGUUUCCCAAGUCUCAGACCUUCCAGCCGGUGGUAGGUGCUCAGGGCUAGCAAGAGAGGCACAUGGAAUGGUAACUAUGAGGAGGCACUGCGUCCCGUGUGCCCACGUGUGCUUGUACUACCUCAAGUGAGACUAGGGGCCUCCUUAGCCCUGCCUCCUUCCCCAGGGUGGCUCCAAAUGCCGGGAGGAAGAGGGGUUUUGACAAUUCUAUCGGAGAUAAAAGAGAAGCGCGUGACAGUGAGCACGCUGAUCAAUUUUUCCAGUAUUCCUGAAAUUCCUUUGGAAUUUUUUCAACAGAAGAUGUUGGUCAAAGGAAGGCCACAAAAUGUUCAGUUAGAAAGGAGGAAUAAGUCAGUCCAAGAUAUUUGUAUACAAUAUGGCUGUAGCUAAUAACAUGCGAGGGGUCUUCAAAAAGUUCCUGGGAAUGUAUACGAUGGAAACACUAUGUAAGAGUUUCUAAUGUUUUGCACUUAAAUGUUUUGAUAUUUUCAUUCCAUUUUUUGUAAACUUGUUGACACACUUUCAUAUUGCGUUCUGCAACAAUGCUAAGAGAGUAGAUUUACAUGGGCUCACCACACACACACACAAAUGAGAAGUGUGUGAGCUAAUGAAUGUGUUAAUUGGCUUCAAUUGGCCAUUCUAAAAGGCACCCAAUUUAAAACAUGUUGCACAUGAUAAAUAUGCAGGUAUGUAAUUUUUGUCGAUUAAAAAAAAUUAAAGAAAUUCUUGCUGACAGGCUCCUAAAGGCAACCAUUCUCCUGGUGCCCAGUCCUAAAUGACAAAUAACUCCUUUCUGAUUUAUUUUUUUAAAGGAAAGAUUUGAUUUAUCACUCUCUUUUUUUCCUCCCAUUUUUAUUUAUUUGAAGGGCAGAGAGACAGAAAAAGAGAAAAAGAGGGAAGGAGAGAGAAAGAAAUAUUUCCCUUCUGCUGGUUUACUGCCAAAUACUUACAAUAGCCGGGGCUGGGCCAGACCCAGGCCAGGAGCUGGGAACACAAGCCGAUCUCUCACACAGGUGCCAGGGAUCCAAGUACUGGAGCCAUCCCCUGCUGCCUCCCAAGGUGUGGAGCCAGGGCUUGGCCAGAACCAAGCCAGGAGCUGGGGACUCAAUCUGGGUCUCACGCAGGUGUCAGGGACCCGACUACUUGAGCCAUCCCCCGCUGCCUCCAGGGUGUGUGUUAGCAGGGAGCUGGAAUCAAGAAAAGAGCUGUGCCUUGAACCCAGACUCUCUGAUAUGGCCUGUGGGGGUCCCGGGCAGCAUCUUAACCACAGAGCCGAACGCCCACUGCCACCUACCUCAAACUGUGUUCUUCCAUGUGUCCCCUUCACAUAACUCCAACUGAAAAUGCAUUUCUUCCAGUGCCUUCAGUCUCUGUGCAUUGAUAACAGAUUCCAAAUAUGUGUCCUGAGAGAAAGCUUCCUAAGAAGGGUAUUGUUUGAAUUCUGUUGUGGCUUAAGUUUUGGUUGUAACACCUCAGUCCUGAGCAGCACUGCCAGCCCUCUUGUUUAUCCUCUGUUGGAGGAUUAAUGGAUAUAAGGAUCUGUUACCGUACCCUCUGGCUUGCUCUGCUGAGUGAGACUUUUUUUUUUUUGUGUGUGGGAGGUAAAAUAGCAAGGUUUAUUAGGGAAGGGACAUCCAUAAGGAUGGAUGGGCACCUCUCCAGACAGAGCCUGAGAGACUGGGGUGGGGGGAGCGAGGUUACAUGGUUGAGUGCAGAGAUUACACCUGGCCAGACCAGGCGGGCGGGUGACUCAGCAGAGAGGCAGAGGGCUGAGAGCGCAGUGCAGUUGAGGCUGGGGGUUUUUAAGGAGAUGGGUCUUGCUUCCCCACCUGUUCCUCUUGGAACAAAGGGCUUUUGGAUGCAAAUGUUAAGAAACUUCUCCCUGAGUUUUUUUUUUUUUUUAAACUUUUAUUUAAUGAAUAUAAAUUUCCAAAGUACAGAAUAUUGAUUACAAUGGCUUCCCCCCCAUAACGUCCCUCGAUGUGAGGGCUAUCUGGCUGCGACAUCUGUCACCCCAUUGAUCGCCAGGGUUGAUUCGGCUGAUCUGGCUGGCUAGGCGGGGUCCCCUUCCUCCAUCACCGCUCCAUGUGCGUCCCUCCCGAAGCUGCACACUCGGUUGAAGAGGACGACCUUCCCCACUAGAGGAGGACUGGUCUUCGGUCAAGGGUAUACAAGUAGCUGCGCUCCCCUGCUAGAACCUCCAAACAAGCUCUCCCUGAGUUUUGCAAAUGUUAAGAAGCUUCUCCCUGAGUUUUCUCUUGAAGGUCUGAAACAAAGGACUUUAUGGAUGCAAAUGUUAUCAGACAGGAGAGGGGGAGCAGGGCGUUUGAGAUACAGAUACUGCGCUGCACCUGGGAGAUAUCAGGUAGAAGGGGUCAGGGCAGGGCAGGAUGUGAAUACUGGGCUACCCCUGAAACACCAUCAGGAUGACUUUGAGAUGCAGCAUAUGCUGGACAUAGUCUUCCCUUUAGGCCUGUUACACACACAUAAGCUCAUACCUAACUUCCUACCUAACAUUCCCCCCUCAAGAGGUAAUACCCAAAAUUCUUCUUUGGGAUUAUGGAUGGAGUUCCGUUUUCUGUAAUUUCUUCAAAGCUUGCAUUUGGGCGUCGAGGGGGAUUUGGGUAUUUCCUCUUGCUAUCUGUCUUAUGGUGUGCAACAGUGGCCUUGGAAAGACUGUGCUGUUCGGUCCAGAGGGCUGCUCAGGUCUUCCAAUGGAAUGGGCUGGAAGCCUUGUCUGACGACAAUUUGGAGUUCGACAGCUUUUAGUCUGCUAGAGACAAAAUGAACAAGGGCAUUAAAAACACUCGGUGCAAAGAGAAGCAUCAAGAUUACAGAAGUUAUUGGGCCAAGGAGAGGAAAUAGCCAGGAUUUCCAUGACCAGAUGUCAGGCCAGAAAUCCCAACCCUGCUUGGCUGGUCCUGGAGCUGUUUGGCUUUGUCCAGGAAAAGUAUGAAUUUGGAUUUCUACCUGUCUAGUCUGAUUGACCAAGAGACAUCAUUCUUCCUGGAACAUGGCACAGAUACCCCUGGAGCAGCAGUUAGCAUGUCCAAUAUUUCUUUCUUUUGUAACCUUUUGUGACUUCCACACACCCUAAACUAGCCAUCAGGAUUCUUACAAACCAUGUCCUUUCCUUAUUUAAAAAGCUCUUUCCUUUUUAACCCUUCUUACCAACAACACUCUUUCCUUCUAAACCUUUUUUACCAAGCACACAUUUCUGUCCUUGUGAUGUUUUCCAUAGAGCCUGGUUGGCUCUUUCUAUCAACUGGUAAUCAUUUUUAUAAACAGCAACAAUCACACAAUAUUCAGCACAUUGAGUAUAGGGUUUAAUAGCUACAUCAUGCAUAUAGGAAGCAUAGGCAUUGUCAUCUUGAUAAUACUUCUGGAUUUUUUUUUUUUGAUUAGCCAAUUUGCAUCAACUUCAUUAUUUUCCUUUUUUAGGAAAUAAGGCCAUGAUCAUAAACUUAAAUCAUGUUUUCCUUUUCCUUAAAUCCUCUUUAUUAUUAUUUUUGCUCACAUUUUAAAAAACACCUUAUUGGGGAAAGAGAAAGAAACUUAAGGGAAAAUGAUUUUCAAGGUCAGAGAAAGGCGUUUCCUUCACAUGACAUCAUGGACCUAAAAGCCUUGCAUGGAUUUCUCCCAGAGGGUGAGAAAAGAACUAAAGAUAUUCUGUUUCACAGAGUUUCAAGUUUUGGAAUGCAGGGAGAUGCCUUGUGCCUCAGGCACCCCACGCGUUCCCAUCACAGAUGCGGGUGGUAGAGUCUCAUAAGACAUCGUCACACAGCUGAGGGCAAGCCCUGCUGUGAAAAGCCCUGUUGCACUAGAAUUCCUGGCAGAGAUCGCUUUGUUACUGACUGUGUGCAGCUCAGCUGACUCAGGAGUUCUGUAAGAGCCUCCAGCAGAAGCAAUGUGGGCCUUUCCCGUGGUGAUUCAUCACUAUCAGCAUAAAGUCCAAGUGUAAAAGGCUUCGUCUCCCACAAUGCUGGUUUAAAGACCAUUGACAUCUGGAAGCAACAGGAGAACACCUGGCUCACUUGUCACUUACUAUUACUCUAGGAUAUUUUGUGUAGUCCAUAGCAAGAAGACAGAAAGAUGAUAAAAUAUUGCAAUUAUUCAACCAUAACUUUAAGGGAAAGUUCUUUCAUGUUUCGAGGAACUUUUAGAUUUCUGUAACUGUUACAUCAAUUCUGUAUAAUUUAUUAAUAAUACCCAUUGAUGCUAUAACUAGAACUCAAACAGUACUUUACACUUUGCGUUUCUGUGUGGGUGCAAACUGUUGAAAUCUUUACUUAAUAUAUACUAAAUUGAUCUUCUGUAUAUAAAAAUAAUUGAAAAUGAAUCUUGAUAUGAAUGGAAUGGGAGAGGGAGCGGGAGAUGGGAGGGUUGCGGGUAGGAGGGAAGUUAUGGGGGGAAAGAGCCACUGUAAUCCAUAAACUAUACUUUGGAAAUUUAUAUUUAUUAAAUAAAAGUUAAAAAAAAUACCCGUUGAUAACUAUAGACAUAAGUAGAUAACUUAGGCAAAUGAGAAUCAAUUUUAAAACAAAGCUACCAUAUACAGCAUCUUAUUUCACUGAAUGCUCACAAAAAUGUUGUGAUGUAAGACUGAGAUUGUAAUCCCAUUUUGCUUAUGGGGAACUGAGUCUCAGAGAGGAAGCUUGCUGAAGGGCACCUAUCUGUUAGUGGCAGAGCCGGGAUCUGAGCCAGGGAAGCUCUGAAUUCAAGGACACAUUCCUCCUAACCCAGGAGGCUGCUUGGUCCAGAUGAUGGCCAGCCUGUUAUGACCAUUGUGCUCAAUGGUGGUACACAAAUACUAGGGUACUUCAAAAAGUUCAUUGCAAUCUGGGAUUCAGAGAAAAGUAUGUGGCUGGCCUUGUGAGCAGCAGGUUAAGAAGCUGCUUGUGGUGCCAGUACCCCAAAUCAGGUUGCACCCAUUCAAGUACUGCUGCUCAGCUUCCCACCCAGCUCCCUACCAGUGCACCCAGGAAGGCAGCGGAAGAUGGCCCAAGUGUUUCAGCACUUGCCACCCUGUGGGAGACCUCAGUUGAGUUCCUGGAUCCUGGUUUGGGCCUGGAUUAGCCCUAACCAUUGCUACAUUUGGAGAGAAAACCAGCAGAUGGAAGA